AACGAACGCUGGCGGCAGGCUUAACACAUGCAAGUCGAACGAGAUCUUCGGAUCUAGUGGCGCACGGGUGAGUAACGCGUGGGAAUCUACCUUGGAGUCUGGGAUAACAGUUGGAAACGACUGCUAAUACCGGAUACGCCCCCUGGGGGAAAGGUUUACUGCUCCAAGAUGAGCCCGCGUCCAAUUAGGUGGUUGGUGAGGUAAAGGCUCACCAAGCCGACGAUUGGUAGCUGGUCUGAGAGGAUGGCCAGCCACACUGAGACUGAGACACGGCCCAGACUCCUACGGGAGGCAGCAGUGGGGAAUAUUGGACAAUGGGGGCAACCCUGAUCCAGCCAUGCCGCGCGAGUGAUGAAGGCCUUAGGGUUGUAAAGCUCUUUCGCCGGUGACGAUGAUGACGGUAACCGGAGAAGAAGCCCCGGCUAACUUCGUGCCAGCCGCCGCCGUAA
RNAcentral lists this ribosomal RNA (449 nucleotides) under uncultured bacterium. RNAcentral's name for it is "partial 16S ribosomal RNA". It matches the Rfam family "Bacterial small subunit ribosomal RNA", at positions 29 to 523 of the family's 1533-position model. The record is from RNAcentral.